RNAcentral lists this ribosomal RNA (280 nucleotides) under uncultured bacterium. RNAcentral describes it as "partial 16S ribosomal RNA". It matches the Rfam family "Bacterial small subunit ribosomal RNA", at positions 338 to 610 of the family's 1533-position model. The record is from RNAcentral.
CCUACGGGGCGCAGCAGUAGGGAAUUUUCGUCAAUGGGCGCAAGCCUGAACGAGCAAUGCCGCGUGAACGAGGAAGGUCUUCGGAUCGUAAAGUUCUGUUGAAGGGGAAAAAGAGCGGAGAGAGGAAAUGAACUCCGAUUGAUAUUACCCUUCGAGGAAGUCACGGCUAACUACGUGCCAGCAGCCGCGGUAAUACGUAGGUGGCGAGCGUUAUCCGGAAUGAUUGGGCGUAAAGGGUGCGCAGGCGGGCCUUUAAGCCGGCGGGGAAAUCGCGGGGCCC